Long non-coding RNA from Alexandromys fortis (reed vole), 586 nucleotides. RefSeq lists it as uncharacterized. Lineage: Eukaryota; Metazoa; Chordata; Mammalia; Rodentia; Cricetidae. The record is from RefSeq and is a predicted model, not a curated record. The transcript is spliced from 2 exons.
UGCAAUCACCAUUGCUUCUUUCUCCCUAGAUCCCAAGACAAAAGCCUGGUUGAGGAAACACGUAGACCCUGUGUUUGGCUUCCCUCAGUUUGUCCGGUUCAGCUGGAGCACAGCCCAGGCCAUCCUGGAAAAGGAGGCAGAAAGUGUCACGUGGGAGGACUCGGCUGCUGAGGAAGAUCCUGAGCAACCAGGGAAGAUCACAUCCUACUUCAGCCAGGGACCUCAGACCUGCCGCCCGCAGCUCCCCCACAGAUACUUCCAGGAGCGAGGCCUGGAGGCAGUCAGCAGCCUCUAGGAGUAAAUAUGUGUACCUACCCCUAGGAAUGAAGCUCUUCACAGAGUAAACGCUGUGCUUUGUGGCUGAGGGCUGGCAGCUGACUCUUCAAACAGAAUAGGUGUUUCUAGAUUGGUACAGUUUAAUAAUAUUUUAAAGCAAAGUUUCACUGUGUAGCCCUAGUUUGCUGGAACUCACUACGUAGACCAGGCUGGCCUUGAGCUCACUGAGAUCCACCUGCCCCUUGCCUCCCAAGUGUUGGUAUUAAAGGUGUGUGCCACCACCCAGCAAUCAGGCUGUCCUUGAACUCAA